Molecule: long non-coding RNA, 1518 nt
Organism: Perca flavescens (yellow perch)
Lineage: Eukaryota; Metazoa; Chordata; Actinopteri; Perciformes; Percidae
Exons: 3
Source: RefSeq, a predicted model, not a curated record
CUCUACUGAUAUACUGUAUAAACUGUUCUCUUCUCUCUCUGCCUCGUCUACAUCACAGACCAACAACACAGAGAAACGACCCAGAGGACUUAAAGCUGAGACAGACUGAGCACGCUCAGUAGCUGCUACACCUGCAUCGCCUCACACAGCUGACAGACACACAGAACUUUUCUGAUCACAUCAGAUCACAGUUUGAUUUAAAGUCAGCUUCUUCAUCACUCUGAAGAGGAGAUCUCAACACUUCAGGAGGACCAGGAGACCUCAAGAUGGACAUGCUUCUAAGAAGACGGAACGGAGACCUCCCUCCUCAUGUGUCUGAGUUAAUGAACAUAAUUGAAACCAAUAAGGUGCAGGAGAGAACAGAUGAAGUCAGAAGAGCAAGAUAUGUUGCUAGAUUAGUAGGAGCAGUAGCAGGAGGAGUAGGAGCAGCAGUAGGAGUAGUGAUCCUGCUCCUUGCAUCUCCAUUCACUGGGUGGCUUAGCUUAGCAGUAGGAGCGUUAGCAGUAGUAGCAGGAGGAGCUGCAGGAAGAGCUGUAGUAGCAAGAGCAGUAGCAGAAGAACAAGCAGUAGCAGGAGCAGUAGCAGGAGGAGUAGGAGCAAUAGUAGGACUAGGACUCAUGGUCCUUGCAGCUCCGUACACUGGGGGGGGUAAUUUAACAGCAGUAGGAGCGUCAGUAGUAGCAGUAGGAGCACUAGCAGGAAUGUUAGCAGUAGGAGGAGGAAGAUGAGCUGUGGCGGUAAAUUCAAUAAAAAAAUAUGAAAGAUAAUAGAAGUGUAAAUGAAGUAGAAGAACUGAGAAGAGUUCAUGAAGAUCAUAGAAAGGGGGAAGAACAACCUGGAAGAAAUAAAGAGGACGGGUGAGAAGUUGGAGCAAAGAUCAGCUGGAGAUCAGGAUGAAAACACUCUGACAGACAUGGAGGAGUACAAUAGGAGUUUCAGAGGACUCUGUCUAUCCCUGUAAGUAGCGACGGAGGAUUGUCUGCUAUGAAGAAAGUCUUCAAACCUACUGCGUCCCCUGAAGAGGACAGAAAGUUAACAUCUCCAUCAUCCAGUCAGCUGAUCUCUGUCAGGAAGUCAUCGAUGACUUGGAGAAGAUGAAGGAAGAACUCAAAGACUCCACAGAACAGUGAACAUAAACGCUGCAGUGUGAAGAAAGGGAUUGUUUAAUUAUGUUAUUAUAAUUAUUUCCACUAAAUCUGCAGAUUUUGGACACAUUUUAAAUUGUGGACACAGAUGAUCCUCCGAUCCUGUUUAUCUGAAGAAACUCCUUUGUGUUAUUAAUAUGAUAUUUACUUUCUGUGAACAUGCUGCUGCUUAUAAUUCUGUCUGAAACAUGAUUAUGUUUCUGUCAGAUCCAGAGCAGAGAAAACCAGUCUGAUGAACUAUGAAACAUAAAGUGAUGCCAACUGAGAAUAGAUGAGCCGUGUAGUAACGUAGCAGCGCCACAAGAUGGCAGCAGCUGUAUCUGAUGCACAUGUUUCACAAUAAAAGCCUGGAUAGAACCCUGCACAUGUUUCA